RNAcentral lists this ribosomal RNA (957 nucleotides) under Escherichia coli. RNAcentral describes it as "partial 23S ribosomal RNA". It matches the Rfam family "Bacterial large subunit ribosomal RNA", at positions 296 to 1259 of the family's 2925-position model. The record is from RNAcentral. Lineage: Bacteria; Pseudomonadati; Pseudomonadota; Gammaproteobacteria; Enterobacterales; Enterobacteriaceae.
AGCCCAGAGCCUGAAUCAGUGUGUGUGUUAGUGGAAGCGUCUGGAAAGGCGCGCGAUACAGGGUGACAGCCCCGUACACAAAAAUGCACAUGCUGUGAGCUCGAUGAGUAGGGCGGGACACGUGGUAUCCUGUCUGAAUAUGGGGGGACCAUCCUCCAAGGCUAAAUACUCCUGACUGACCGAUAGUGAACCAGUACCGUGAGGGAAAGGCGAAAAGAACCCCGGCGAGGGGAGUGAAAAAGAACCUGAAACCGUGUACGUACAAGCAGUGGGAGCACAGAGCAAUCUGUGUGACUGCGUACCUUUUGUAUAAUGGGUCAGCGACUUAUAUUCUGUAGCAAGGUUAACCGAAUAGGGGAGCCGAAGGGAAACCGAGUCUUAACUGGGCGUUAAGUUGCAGGGUAUAGACCCGAAACCCGGUGAUCUAGCCAUGGGCAGGUUGAAGGUUGGGUAACACUAACUGGAGGACCGAACCGACUAAUGUUGAAAAAUUAGCGGAUGACUUGUGGCUGGGGGUGAAAGGCCAAUCAAACCGGGAGAUAGCUGGUUCUCCCCGAAAGCUAUUUAGGUAGCGCCUCGUGAAUUCAUCUCCGGGGGUAGAGCACUGUUUCGGCAAGGGGGUCAUCCCGACUUACCAACCCGAUGCAAACUGCGAAUACCGGAGAAUGUUAUCACGGGAGACACACGGCGGGUGCUAACGUCCGUCGUGAAGAGGGAAACAACCCAGACCGCCAGCUAAGGUCCCAAAGUCAUGGUUAAGUGGGAAACGAUGUGGGAAGGCCCAGACAGCCAGGAUGUUGGCUUAGAAGCAGCCAUCAUUUAAAGAAAGCGUAAUAGCUCACUGGUCGAGUCGGCCUGCGCGGAAGAUGUAACGGGGCUAAACCAUGCACCGAAGCUGCGGCAGCGACGCUUAUGCGUUGUUGGGUAGGGGAGCGUUCUGUAAGCCUGUGAAGGUGU